AUUGAACGCUGGCGGCAGGCCUAACACAUGCAAGUCGAACGAGUGGCGGACGGGUGAGUAAUGUCUGGGAAACUGCCUGAUGGAGGGGGAUAACUACUGGAAACGGUAGCUAAUACCGCAUACCAUCAAAUUUCCCCAGAUGGGAUUAGCUAGUAGGUGGGUUAACGGCUCACCUGGGCGACGAUCCCUAGCGGGUCUGGGAGGGUGACCAGCCAAACGGGAACUGAGACACGGUCAAGACUCCUACGGGAGGCAGCAGUGGGGAAUAGUGCACAAUGGGCGCAAGCCUGAUGCAGCCAUGCCGCGUGUGUGAAGAAGGCCUUCGGGUUGUAAAGCACUUUCAGCGGGGAGGCGUUACCCGCAGAAGAAGCACCGGCUAACUCCGUGCCAGCCGCCGCGGUAAUAC
Molecule: ribosomal RNA, 406 nt
Filed under: uncultured bacterium
Lineage: Bacteria
Description: partial 16S ribosomal RNA
Rfam family: Bacterial small subunit ribosomal RNA
Source: RNAcentral